GGAUCCUUUCAUUCUUUGAUGUGGUAGGGAAUUAUUUUUGACUUUUUCAGUUUCAUUCUCAUUUAAGUCAUCUUGGGCUUGGAAUGGGCUCUGGGAAAUAGGUGGAGUCUCUGCUGUUUCUAAUUAAUACCUGUAGGUUAGUCAGUCUCCCUCUGGAAGCUUCUCACUGGUAAACAUAGAAGCUGUGGGGCAUCCUUGGGUAGCGGCAGCUACCGCUUUCUGUAGUCCUGGAGCCUGACCCCCGACUGCUACCUCCCAGACUUGCCAUGAUAGCAAGUUAGGUCACUCGUGAACGUGUUUUCAAAAGUACCAUGAAGCAUUCCUAUGAGGAAUAAUUAUUACUAUACACCAUGCCAGAAAAAUAAAAUCUGUUUCUCUUUUUCUUCAGCCUUCUUCAUGUUCCACUUAGCCUUGUCUGUGGAUGGUCCUUUUUUGGGAUUCAAGGCAAAUCCCUAUUUCUGCUUUUGCUGCUGCUGUUCCAUCUCCUUUCCACUCCCCAAAGAGGUCAUAAAUUUAUUAUUUGUUCAUUAUUGUAAUAAAAUAUACAUCACAAAAUGUACCAUGUUAAACACUUUUAGGUGUACGGUGGCCUUAAGUACAUUUACAUUGUCAUACAAGCAUCCCACCCCAUCCAUCUCCUGAGCUGUUUUAUUUUCUAAAACUGAAACUCUAUACCCAUGAAGCAACAGCCCCUGGUUUUCCCCUCCCCCUGCCUCUGGCAACCUGAAUUUGACCAUGAUGGGUAUCUCAUUUAUGUGGAAUGGUACAGUAUUUGUCCUUUUGUGAUUGGCUUAUUUCACUUAAUGCACUGUCUUCAAGGAUCAUCCAUGUCUGCUUAGAGAGGCGAGUGGUAAAAUUUGUAGAACUUUGAGUAGUAAAUAGAAAAAACAUUUUCUCCCAGAAACUAUUGUAAAUUUGGGGAGGGGGAGCUGAAUGGUUUAUACACUUCUUUUUUAAUGUAGGUACUGUUUGCAGCUGUAGAGUUCCUUUCUUGAAUAAGAAAUAAAAUACAUUGUGAAUCUAUAUCUUAGAUUUCAUCUGGACAGGAGCUGAGUGAGACAUAAAUCUGUGAUGUGUGGAGCUGAGUAACACCCUUCCUCCCACCUGAGAUUUCCAUCUGAUGACUUACCAGGGAACCAAUGAACUUCUGUGAAGAAUGCUUAAACCAUGCUCGGAAAUGGGAGCUACAAAAUGUCAUGAUGUAGGAAUUAUAUACCUGUUUUGACUACCUUAUACUCAGGAGGAUACUCCAAGGAUAGAUGUAACCGAUGUUAACAGUUUAUUUUCUGAAUUUAGUCACAUUUUCAAAGAACAAAAAGACGCUGAGAAAACAGGAAGGAUCGAACUUGGGACCUUGCGCUUGUGAGGCAAGGCAGGAGGCAGAACCACUGAACUAAAUCCCUAGCCCUCAACUUAAAAAAAAACAAACCCAGAAAUCUUCAAGCAUAUGGAAAAAUGGGAACAACAGAACAGAAUGAUUCUUGUAUUCACUUAAUCUUGAUUAAAAAAUUGCUAAUAUUUUGUCAUAUUUACUUUAGUAGAAAAUCUAUAUGAAGCACUUCAAAUUACACUGUAGAUUUUUCACACCUAACCACUUCACUAUUCAGCAUAUAUCCCCUGGGAAUAAGAAUAUUUGUCUAGAUAAUGACAAUGCAACUAUCACACUGAAGAAAAUAGUAAUUUGUUAAUAUCAUCUAAUUUAAGCUGUGUAUUCAAAUCUUUCCAAUAUGAGCUUUUAAAUUGAUUCUUGAGAACCAAGAUUCAAUCAGAGUUCAUGCAUUAUAUUGUAAGACCCAGAUGGCACAAGUAACGCCAUCUUGUUACAGGCCCUCCAUCUUGUCCCUGUGGGUUUUGGGUUCCCUACAGAACACAGAGUUCCCGGGAUGUACUUGUUUAUCUGUUAAGACACCAGGAAUGUACCAUUGUUUCUGUGUAAGGAACAUCCUGUUUGCUAAGUAAAGAACAUCUGCAACCCCCGCCCCUAACCGUCCCCUAACUGCAAAAAUUCCGCUUCUGUAGUUCCGCUUGCUAAGCACCCCUGCAGCCCCUAUAAAACCUUCCAACCCCCUGAACUCGGGGCCCUCUCUAAGCCUGUUGCUUGGAGACUGCCGUCUGGCCAGACUAAUAAAGGUCUGUUAUACAUUUCCAACUUGUCGGGUGUGUUCCUUCC
Heterocephalus glaber (naked mole-rat) is the source of this 2170-nucleotide non-coding RNA. NCBI's taxonomy places the organism in Eukaryota, Metazoa, Chordata, Mammalia, Rodentia, Bathyergidae. The record is from RefSeq and is a predicted model, not a curated record.